GCCCGGGCGGCCGACUGGGGUUGCGGGGCCGCGGGCGGGGACCGCCCCCGGGCGCUGGGCAUCCACCGCGCCGUGCAACAAUGGGGUCCGGCCGGGGCAGCCCCGCGGGCGGUGCCCUCUGCGCGCCGAUGGGGCGGGUGAGGGCCAGCGGCGGCCAGCAGGGGAGUCAUUGUUUGGGUUCCGGAGCGACGCACGUUGCGGGCGAGACUGGGGCGCCCCUUCUCCCUGCGCUUCACCUUGGCGGGAUGAAUGGGGCGAGAGCGAGACGCGCGCUUGUCCUCGCCACCUCAGGAGAAGGGGCCCCUGCCCGCGCCAGUUCUAGAAAGAGGCAAACUUGCAGGACUGGGGCAGAGGAAGCGGGAGCUACAGAACCCCGCGGGGCCCAGGGGCUGCGGGGAAGGGAGUCCAGUGCUCUAAGCGGAGCCGGGAGAAGCGGGCGGCCCUGAGCCGAGUCCUUGACGCUUUCCCCAGCAGCCCCUCCCUUCCCGCCUCCGCGCCCCGGGGAGCGGAUCAGCGGGAUUGUGGGGCGGGAGAGGGAGGAGGCGGCCAGGCAGCCCUUCAGUUCCCGCGGCCGCUCGGAGGGCGCGCGGUCACUGCCUUGCCUGAGGGUCGGCGGGGGCGGGGAGCAGACGGGGCGGAAGCGGCCGCGGGCGGAGGUGGGAGGCUCCUGGCCAGCCUAGGUGGGCGCGGAGCUCCGGGGACCGCAAGACGCCCCUGCCCCUCGCCCCCCGCCCCGCCCCACGUGGGAAACUGCUAGGACGGCGGAAAGGCCGGGAAAGGGAAGUUUGUGUGCGCAGAGAAAGCUCUGCUGUACUGUGGCGUGGAGUGGGGUGGGAAGAGAAACAAGGGAGAGAAUGAUAAACAGGAAAUGAGAGCGAAGGCACGAAUGUGAGCUAGGGCUGGCCGGGCUCUCCAUCGGUGUGGCAGUUUCCAGCCACUCCAGGCCCGGUGUGCGUUCCUAAUCACAACAAAGGCGGCGACUGCCUGGUGCGUUCUCUGCCUCCAGCCACUCCUAGGAUCUGAGGAAAAUGGGAAGAGUGGUCCAGCCUAGAGGAGGAGUCCCAACAUCCUAAGAUGCAUCUUAGGAAGACAGCAGGAUGCAGAGGAGGGGUCUGUCCAGGUCUUAAGGUUUCCAAGAACAGAUGUCUGAAAUUUGUGGAGCACUACUGGAGCGAAGUAGCCUUAGUGGCGGGAAGGCGCGGGCGCAGUGAGGGCAUCGGGAGCCCAGUGGAACUGGAGGGUGAGGGGUCAGUCGCCGGGCUGCGGUCUCCGUUCUGGGGAACACAGCCGCUGCUCCCACUCUCUGAUCCGAUCCUGGGCAGAGGGUAAACAGCCCUUGACACUCCACAACACCCGGAUGGAAACCGCACGAAAAGACAAGUUUGAAAAGCAGUAAAAUAUCAACAACUGCGCAGCAUUUCAGCGAGAAACUUGCCUCUGCUAGAAUCACUGAAGUUUCCCUCUAGGUGGGGCAGGGAGAGGCAGGGUGUGAAGGAAGGGAGUUUCACUGUAAGGGUGGAAGGAUGCUGUAAGAAAUUAUGUCAUCGUGGCAGUUCUUGUACUAACAGCUCUUUCUCGAGUGAGCUGAGUGGCGGACAGACCAUAAAUAUAUUCCAUAGCGAGUGCUUCUGCACGUGGAAAAGCAAACUGCACUCCCUUCCUAUGGCAACAGCCACGGGCCUGUUAGGAGAGUGGCGAAAGACAGAAAAUAAACUACAAGAAACCAUUCCAGAGGGCUAAGGAAACUAGGGGUAGGUCAAGGUUAGUUUCUAGCGUCUGGUGAGCCUAUGUGGUUAAAAGGAAAAGUACAUCAAGCAUUGGGAAAAAAUGUUGCAGAUUUUAAAAUUGUUGACAGAUAUGGAGUAGAAAUAUUACAUUAAGCCAUCUCCCUAGUUAUGAAAAGGGAAAGGAUAAAGAAGAGAAAAACGGGCUUAGAAAAGAGAAUCACUUCGUUGUGUGGACUGGGGGUGGGUGUAGAAGAGCAAAAACAUUGAAAGAAUAAAAAGCAUGGAUGAUAACUGGAGCGAGAUCACUAGAGGUGUUUGUGUGUGUGUGUGUGUGUAUGUAUACACAUAGGCAUGCGUUUCUAACUCAGUUCAUGUAAUUCUAUCUCUGUAUAGAACUUGGAUUUAAAGAAAACUAAGGUGUAAACAGAAGGGAAGAAGAUAGGAAAAGUACACUACCUCCGCAAAGAGCCUUGUUCUGUCACCCAGGCUGGAGUCCAGUGGCAAGAUCUGAGCUCACCGCAACCUCCUCCUCCCCGGUUCAAGUAAUUCUCCUGUCUCCACCUUCCGAGUAGCUGGAAUUACAGGACAGGGAAGGAAGAUACAAAGCAUGAAAGUUGACUUUACAUCAUCAAGACACAUAGAGCCUACAGCAUUGAAGCUGAGUCUUGAACUCUGAAUAGAAGGUCUUCUGGGAGAGAAGGUUAAUGAGAGCCGCCUGCUUCUGCACUCGGGAUUAGGGUCUCCUGUGACAAGGAACUACAGUUUCAACUUUAUCAACAAAGAUGGAAUGGAGAAGAAGAUGGCUGAGAAGGAUAUGUUCUUCAGAAAGGUUGAACGAGACAUCUACAUUGGCGGUCUCGGGGACUCCUGCAGGUUGGUAGUCCCCCAGCAGAUGUGCCGGACCCCAACAAAGAUACAUGUCUACGUAGGUAUUUCAGUUAUCCUCCCACCAUUAGUCAGUGUUGAAUUUGACCCUCACAUUCUCUCUACCACAGCCAUGAUCCCAAUUCUUGUAGUUUGAGUAAAUAAAAUAGAAAUGUGGUUAGCUUUUUGGGGCACUCUAAUAUUCUUUCAGAGGAAUUUGUACUUCAACCAAGAUCUGCAGGGCAUUGAAUUAAUGUUUGGCAUUCCCUUUGUGGUGAGAGCAAAUGUCUGUAUCUUCAGUUUAAAAAAUAGUUUAUGGUUUCAAUUUCAGAUAUUUUGUUAAGUUUUAUGGGAAUGAACUGACUAAACAUGUGAAUUCCAUAGUCUUUUACAAAAAGCACAUGAGCCUGUUUCUGGGAUAUUUAUUUCUAUUUAUUGAUCUAGUCAUUGGGGCCUAUAUCACUACUAUACUCCUUUAAUUACCAAAAGUUAGUGUUGUUUUUUGUUAUCUACAGACCAACUUUAUUCUCUUUAUUUUACCUAUUUAAAAUAGCUUAAUUAGGUGCCAGCUCUUAUUCUUCCAAAAAAGCUUUAGAAUCAGUGGACAAUGCUAACAUAGUCAUAAUAGAAUUUUAAUUAUAACUACGUUUAAGAUAACCUGGGAGAGAUUUGAUGUUCAAAUAGUUAAUUUAAUAGGCUAAAUAAAAUAAUAAUGUAUAAAUUUUGCCCUC
Non-coding RNA from Callithrix jacchus (white-tufted-ear marmoset), 3322 nucleotides. The record is from RefSeq and is a predicted model, not a curated record. Lineage: Eukaryota; Metazoa; Chordata; Mammalia; Primates; Cebidae.